CAGUUGUGACCUAUGCUGCAGCUGUGGCAGUGCCAGAUCCUUUAGUCCGCUGUGCCAGGCCGGGGAUCGAACCUGCAUCCUGGUGCCAGAGAGAAGCUGCCAAUCCCGUUGCACCAUAGCAGGAACGCCAGCCCAUGUACACUUUCGACCUUACAGAAAGGUAUAUGAUAUCUUCUAGAAUAAAGGAGUUGAAAUUGAAAUCUUCCCCUUUUUUUUUUUUUUUUUUUUUUUUUCUGUUUAGGGCCGUACCUGUGGCAUAUAGAGGUUCCCAGGCUAGGGGUGUAACUGGAGCUACAGCUGCUGGCCUACGCCACAGUCACGGCGACAAGGGAUCCGAGCCACGUUUGCAACCUACACCACAGCUCAUGGCAACACCGGAUCCCCAACCCACCGAGCAAGGCCAGGGAUCGAACCUGUGUCUUUAUGGAUACUAGUGAGAUUUGUUUUUGCUGAGCCACAAUGGGGACUCCCUUAUUCUGUUCUAAAUUGACCAAACCAACUUAGCUUUUGGCUGCUGCCUAUUGAAAGAUGAGCUGAAAUAUGUUCAGAAAGGCCCAGACUACUUGCUACUCAGUAAAGUGCAGUCCAUGGACCAGCAGCAUUGGCAUCACGUGCUAAGAUGGCAGAAAUGCAACAUCUCGGCCUCCACCCCAGGUUACUGACUCAGAAUCUGCACUUUAACCAGGACCGCACGAGGUUCAUACACACUUUCGAGUUCAGAAGCCCUAGGCGCUGAUCUGCAAUCAAAUUAUCGGAAGGAAGACGGGAGAUAUUGAAGGAUGAUAACCUGAGCCUCAAGUGCAAGAGGUAGAGCUCUCUGAACUCCUGGGAAGCCUGGAAAGAAGAAGACAGACGCCCCUCUGAUGAUUCCAGGAGGCAAACUUCCAGCAGAGAGAAACUAGAGAAAGACAGACUUUAUUUAGGAAGGACCUUUAGAGCAGCCAAAGCUGCCCAGAGAGGAAAAGAGUUUGUCUCAAAAGGUUUCGUGGCAGCAGGUGUCCCAGCAGUGGUGUGCCAACUGCCAGGAUUGUGAUCACAAUCAUGCAAGGAUUUGAUUUACAGCAGUCAAGGAUACAUUAGAGCCCAGAGGCAUCUGGAGAGGCCUGGCUAGUUGUGGAGAAUAGGGACGUCAGGCGUUCAGUCUCCCCGGACUGAGACAUGAUGCAUCAUUAGCAAAUAAACCCAGCAGAGCUCACGAGACUUUCCCACAGCACAUCUGGGGCAUUUUGCAUCCUCGCAAGUCACAGCAAGUGCAAGUUCCUCGUUCAGUAUCAGUUUCCCUCAGUAUUUCUGGGGGUAGCAAUGUAUUCAGGAUGAAAAAUUUUCUAACUAUCUUUUCCUGUGUCCCUUGCAGGUAAGAGCAGCUAAUGAGAUACAAGCAAAAAUCACCAUUUGGGGCUUCUAAGGACAGUUCUUAGGAGAGUUCUAACUCAGGUGACAAGUGCCUUUUUACUCUUCUACCUGUCUUUUUCUUUCUCAAACACAGAUGUGAUGGCUGGUGCUCUAGCAAUCAUUUCAUGAUCAUGAGGCAAUCCUGAAAAUGGAAGUAGAAAGAUAGGACUGUGGGUGUCUGAUGACAUCAUGGGGCCAGCACAACAAAUACUACACUAUCUAGUCAAAACUUUUCUUUUGAACAAAAGAGAAAUAGUCACCUCUAAUUUGCUCAUGCUAUUGUUUUAGAGGUCUUCAUACCAGUGGCUGAAUGCAAUCUUGCCCCGAUACAUCUUGAGUGGACUGUUACCUGCUUGCAAUAUAUUCUUACCCAAGUCCAAACAUUCCCUGGAGAGUGGCAAGUUCAACUGCUCGUCUGAACAUCAUGAGCACGACUUAUUAUCUAGAUCAAGGGAGAUAAACUAUGAGCCAGUGGGUCAAAUCGCUGUGUCUGUUUACCUAUUAUUUAUAGCUGUUCUCACAAUGCAAUGGCAGAGCUGAGUGGUCACAGCAAAGACCAUGUGGCCUGCAAAGCUGAAAAAUAUUUAUUUCCUGUUCCUUUACAAAGAAAAAACAAAAAAACAAAAAACAAAAACCUUUUCUGAUCACUGAUCUAGAGAUUCAGAAAGUCCUCAUUAUUGCUAUUUUGCUAGCAAUAUAUCCAAAUCUAGUGUGAAUGGGGCAAUGCUUUCCAAAUGUUCCCAGCCCUCAGGGCCACGUUGACCUCUGGGACUCAGGGGUUCAUACAUAACAUCGCAAAGCUUUUCUGGUGAUGCUGAUGAGUGGGUGUUACAGUCUGAAUGUCUGCAUCUCCAACCCCAACGAUGUGUUAUGUUGAAAUCCUAACCCCCGAGGCGGUGGCCCUGGGAGGUGAGUAGGUCAUGAGGGUGGUGCUGGAGAGUCUCCGGGCAUAUAAGCCAUGCAGCUAUGGCUGGCAUCACGUACACAUCAUGAAUGAGACCAGCACCCUUAUAAAAGAUGCCCAGGGAGAUCCUUCGCCCCUUCUACCAUGUGAAGAUGGGGAGAAGACAGCGGUUGUGAACCAGGAAAUGGGUUCUCACCAGACAUCUGCUGGUGCCCUGAUCUUGGACUUGCCAGCCUCCAGGGCUGCGGAGAACAGAUGUUCCUUGUUUAAGGCACCGAGUCUACAGCCCUUUGUUACAGCAAGUGGACUAAGACAAAGGGCAAUCUGGGGAGCCCCGAUGUAAAGCACAGAUUAUGCCUCCUCUCUAUGGGUUUCCUCGUCUAUACAACGGAGGUGGAUAAAAGCACAACGGAGGUGGAUAAAAGCACGUGCUCACGAGGUGGGCUGGAGAGUCUUUGGGUAUAUCAGCCACACAGCCAGCUAUGGCUGGCAUCACGUACACCACCACGCGGAGGAGGUGGAGAGAGACGUGGGGAAGGGGGGAGAGGCCGGAAUAGUGACAUCGGCCUGACUGGAUGGAAAGUCCCGUCCAGAUGGGACAAGCGCAACUGGAGCAUAAAACUGCUUCAUCUGAAUCACGAGAACCCUUUAGGGGCAUGAAAAAUAUAAAGGCUGUUGCAUCACCUUUUACAGGCCCUCAAGCCUUCCAGGGACACAUAGCAACUGUGUCGCAAGGCAAAAGAGCGGGAAAGAGAUCGAUGCAUUUUUAAAAAUUCCAUGACUAAGAACAACCCAGAAAGUAAAGCCUCCAGUGAUAAGUAGAUGUUAUAACCUGCAAUCAGUGAAUGUCAAUAUGCGACUUAAAAACCUCUCCCACAACGAUAAAAACUGGCAGCUCUAAUGUGAGUUAUACAUUCUGAUUCUACAUUUUUCAUAACACAUUGAAGAGUCAAAUGCUUCACUCUGUGAAAGCCUCGAGUCCCUCCUGCUUCUCUGACGGCCCUUCUUGGCCUUCCACGGGGGGACCUCCUCUGCGGCCCGUUCAUUAAAGGUGGAGACUUUCCCUGGGCCCCUUCUUCCCCUCAUGAGGGUCCACUCUCGAGGGGGCACAGUUGAUGUUUCGGUCAAUGACUUCCAAAUCUUCAUCUCUAGUCUGGAUCUCUGAUGGGAACUCCAGACUGAGGACCUGAUAAAAUCUGUGUCUACAUCCACACGCAGGGUCUACACUGCAAAGCCUCUCCUCCUCCUGCACCUCGCUCUCGCCAUGGAUGGACCGCUCAGCUGCCUGAGCCAGAAAUCUGGGCAUCAGCGCUGACCAGGGAUGUUCUUUGCUCUCACAUCCAAGUACUGGGGGUGGGGGGGGGUCUGCCGAGCCCACCUCCAGAGUCAGCCCCGCCCCUGGCUGGACCGCUAGGGCAGGCUCUCGGUGGCUCUUCUGGCCCCUCCCACUUUCCCCCCAUUCCUUUCAUUUUCACCUCCCCUGUUCAAACUCCUUCAACAACUGUCCGUGGAGGAGGCUCAUGCCAGAGACUGGGUUCUGGGGCCGGUGGAGUGGGCAGCUGCUCUGGGCCUGGGAAGCUCCUGCAUCAGCGCAAUCAUCUUACUUUAGGCUCCAUCUCCUGCUUUGGCAAACCAGGGCGGUGCCAACUUGCCUGCAGUUUCUUUAAAUUUCUUUAAUCCUUCAAAAUUCUUAAAAUUAAAAAAGCCUUAAAUUUCUUAAGCUCACAAAUUUCCUUACAACGAGGAUGGUGCCAAUGUGCUUGCAUUCUUUAAAACAGUCUUAAAACUGUUCAGAUCAAAUACCCUGUUCUAGAAAUAGCUUCAUCCCCUGGCCUUCCAACUGUCUCCUAGCAGCACCCCCUGCUAAGGGGGACAGCAGGCAUUCAAGAACUCAGAGCUUCGAAAGGCCAGGGUCCAUGAGUCCAACCCUUCCUUUUAUAAGUCAAAGGACUGCUGAGACUACUGUCCCCUCCUCAUCCCACAUCCUCCUUGAUGUCUGGCUCCAGGGGACCAGGGCUUGGGGAAGGCCACCUAGAUUGAAGAUAUGAAUAAACACGCCAGGGCAAUGUCACGGGCGUGAUGACCAGGGCAGGGAGGGGAGCAAGCUCCUUGUGUGGGAGGGGAGGGGAUGUGACAUCGAGACUGAGUGAUCAGCAAGGAGAUACAAAGCAUGGAAGCUAAGAGCACAUGCUCUGCGGCCAAACUCCCCCAAUUCAAAUCUCGGUUCUGCUGCGCACUGCUGGGCGCCCUGAGAAAGUUACUACACUUCUCUGUGCCUCCGCUCCCUCCUUUGAGAAAUGAGGAUGAUAAUAUUACCUCUCACUGGGUCUUGGGGGGAUUAAAUGAGUUCCCACAUGCCAUGGGCUUAGAAUGGGGCCCAGUCCAUAGAAGAUACCAUGUGAGUGUUCAAUUAAACGAACAAUUAAAAAUGUAACUGAAUGAGCUCCCACGUGGCUCAGUGGGUUAAGAACCUGAUGUAAGUCUCCAUGAGGAUGUGGGUUCGAUCUCUGACCUUGCUCAGUGGGUUAAGGAUUUGGUGUUGACACAAGCUGUGACCCAUGCUGCAGAUGUGGCUCGGAUCUGGUGUUGCCGUGGCUGUGGUGUAGGCCGCAGCUGCAGCUCUGGGAACUUCCGGAGCUGGGAACUCCCACAUGCUACAGGUGCAGCUGUAAAAAGAAAAAAAAAGUGUAAUCUACUGGUUAGGCUGCCACUGGGAACUGACAAUGGUGUGGACUUCCUGAGUCUCUGAUCUUGAUCAGCUUUAACAUUAACCCCCUCCAGUGGUUUGACUGAUGGGGACUGGGCUCUGCUGAGACAUCAAGACGGUCACAGCGGGCUCACAAACUGCAGGGGAUCCCAGAAGCUCAGCGCCUCCACCACCUACCAUGUUCUGUGAUGUUAGACAAAUUGCUUCUUUCAGAGUUCAGUUUACUCAUCUGAGAAAUGGGUAUAACCCCACUCCUCACAAAAAAACCAUGCCUGAAAGCAUUUAUAAAAAUGUCGUAAGUGUUGGAGUUCCCUGCUGGAGCAGUGGGUUAAGGAUCCGGCGUUGUCCCUGCAGCAGCUCAGGUCACUACCUGUGGCACAGGUUCAAUCUCUGGCCUGGGAACUUCUACACGCUGUGAGCAUGGCCAAAAAAACCUGUCUUAAGUGUCGCUGCUAUUACUACUAUUGGUGUUGUUAUCCCCAUCAUCAUCACGAAAUUCUGCAAAGGUGAAGAAGCACUGUCACUGAAGCCACAUUUAUUACAGCUCUAUGGGCUCCACCGUAAGAUCUUGGCUUAGGAAAGAACAGGUAUGCAGAUCACGGCUGAGCCUUAGACCCAGAGCUCAGCACAGAUUGUACUGCAGGUCAUUCACGUUUUUAAACAAAAACACACUGAGUUCCCACUGUGGCUCAGUGGAAAUGAAUCUGACUAGGAACUGGGAGGUUGCAGGUUCGAACCCUGGCCUCCCUCAUGGGUGAAGGAUCCGGCGUUGCCAUGGGCUGUGGUAUAAGUCAAAGACAUGGCUCAGAUCUGAGGCUGUGGCUGUGGUGUAGGCCAGCAGCUGUAGCUCUGGACCCUAGCCUAGGAACCUCCAUGUGCCAUGGAUGCGGCUCUAAAAAAAAGACAGAAAGCCAAAAAAAUAAAUAAAAUAAAAACACAACUUACUAUGCCCUUCCCUUAAAAAGCUCCACUGACACGAAUCCCCAAACAUGUUAUUUCUCAGGGGUACAUGAAAGCAGCUCUUCCCGAGAACGGAUGCUGUGGCCUCUCCAGCCACCGCAUGUGCAUCCUGGGACCAGCCCAGCUUCUUCCAGGCCUCGCGUCCGCAUGCAUAAAAUGCAGGGGGGGUGAACUGGAUGCUCUCUAGGUUCCUGUGCAGCCUCCCCGGCUCUGGUCUCCUGUGUCCUCAGGCGAUUCACAAACUGCAAGGACUUCUGGGCCUCUUCCACCCCCACUUUACUGUGGAGCCCAAGGUGUUCACAGAAUCAGGAGGUCUGA
This 6281-nucleotide long non-coding RNA is filed under the name Sus scrofa (pig). RNAcentral's name for it is "lncRNA (ENSSSCG00005026693.1)". Lineage: Eukaryota; Metazoa; Chordata; Mammalia; Artiodactyla; Suidae. The record is from RNAcentral.